UUAGCGCAUGCCUGAUUGGUUGCUUGACCUCUCCCUGGGUUAGAGACCUAGGAACAAAAAUACAGCAUUCCCUCCUGCUGCAGUGAGGAUACCUUGGCACCUGAUGAAAGGACAGGAGGCAUUUGAUGCCCCUCCUCCUCUCCAGAAAGGAGCCAAGUUCAUGCAGAGGUGGCUCGGGGCGAUAGAAAGACCAGGAAAGAGUCCCUAUUAGCACAUUCCUGUUUCCCUGGUGCAAAGGACAAAACAGUGAAACUGACCAAUGCAAAGUGCAGGAGGGAAGGAGUGCGGUCAGGGAAGUUAAAUGGUUCUACUGUGCCCAGCCCACCCUGGCAGCUCAGAAGUCUCCUCAGAAGCCCUUGAAGAUGAAGAAAGAAAAAAAGAACAUUUCCAGGUGACUCCCAGCUCUACCAGGAGAAGGAAAAAAAGCAGAUAAUCUCCCAUUCUUCCCUCCUGCCUAUGUCUCAAUCCAACCAGUGCUCUUAUCUUCAAGAUAGUCCAAUCCAGCAAAGUUUUGAAGUCAGCUAAUUAUAACCAAGGGCAAGGGUGGGGAAAGUAGGUAGGAGAAAGAGGGAAGUUUGCUUUGCACUCAGAAUACAAAUAUUCUAACAAGAAGCCAGCACGACUCUAUCCCCAUCUAGGAUUCUCAGUCUUCCCAGACUGGGAAGAUUAGGGAAGGGAGGUAAAUUCUUUACUGAACUAAAUGCUCUCUUCCUAAAGUACCUUAAAAGAAUAACUUGUGAUUGAGAGAAAAUGAGGUGGAGGGGCAGGAGAGAGAGAUGAGUCAAAGAACUUAGCUCUCCCCCCAACCUUGCCUUACCACUCUGCAAAUACAACAGCUCUCCCCACCCAAUCCCAACUCCAGUCUUCCUUUCCUCUCUUUUCUUUUCAGGGGACUUCUUCCCCUUUCUCUCCCUUUAACUGUGAUCACAAGUAGUUGGGGGAGUUUUGUGCGUAAAACGGAGAAAAGGGGGGAAGAGGGAGGAGAGAGAGAGAGAGAGAGAGAGAGAGAGAGAGAGAGAGAGAGAGAGAGAGAGAGAGAGAAUUAACUUACAGCGUUCGCCUGGG
Molecule: long non-coding RNA, 1065 nt
Filed under: Phascolarctos cinereus (koala)
Lineage: Eukaryota; Metazoa; Chordata; Mammalia; Diprotodontia; Phascolarctidae
Description: lncRNA (ENSPCIG00000031147.1)
Source: RNAcentral